CCAGCUCCAAGAGUGUAUAUUAAAGUUGCUGCAGUUGAAAGGCUCGUAGUCGGAAGGCGGGGCGGUGGAUGCAGAGCAGGGAGACCUGUGUCUGGAUCUGGCGCCCUUCGGGGGGGAUAUCACAGUCCCCCCCCGUUACUGUGAGGAAAUUACAGUGUUCAAGGCAGGCGUGUGCUUGGAUAGGUUAGCAUGGAAUAACGGGAUGGUCCGUUGGUUGGAGCGUACGUUGAUAGGGACAGUUGGGGGCAUUGAUAUUUGGCAGUCCCAGGUGAAAUUCUAGGAUUUGCUGAAGACGGACGGGGGCGAAAGCAUUUGCCAAGGAUGUUUUCAUUGAUCAAGAACGAAAGUUGGGGGAUCCAACACGAUUAGAUACCGUCCUAGUCCCGACAGUAAACGAUGCCGGCGGGGCGUGGGGGGGCCAAACGCGGAUCUUCCCCCCCCUGGAAAAAUCGGACCGUGUGGGUUCUGGGGGGAGUAUGGUCCCAAGGCAGACACUUGAACGAAUUGACGGAAGGGCACCACCAGGAGUGGAGCCUGCCGCUUAAUUCGACUCAAC
This 556-nucleotide ribosomal RNA is filed under the name uncultured eukaryote. Its description in RNAcentral is "partial 18S ribosomal RNA". It matches the Rfam family "Eukaryotic small subunit ribosomal RNA", at positions 585 to 1204 of the family's 1831-position model. The record is from RNAcentral.